CCGAGAAAUUGGGGUUAAUCCGCGAUAGAUGUAAUGUCCUGGAAUGGUAUUACGUCUAAAGGUAUUUCAUACAUGUUUGAAAUAUGCCUAAGGACGGGGCUGCGGCCGAUCAGGCUGUUGGUGAGGUAAUGGCUCACCAAACCUUUGACCGGUACGAGCCAUGAGAGUGGUAGCCCGGAGAUGGACACUGAGACAAGGGUCCAGGCCCUAAGGGGCGCAGCAACCGCGAAACCUCCACAAUGCACUCACGUGCGAUGGGGCUAUCUCGAGUGCCACCUGAUGAAGGUGGCUUUUCCUAGGUCUUCAAAGCCUUGGGAAUAAGAGGGGGGCAAGACUGGUGUCAGCCGCCGCGGUAACACCAGCCCCUCGAGUGGUGGGGAUGAUUAUUUGGCCUAAAGCGUCCGUAGCCGGCCGAGCAAGUCUUCCGUUAAAUCCAGCGUCUCAAGCGUUGGACCGCGGGAGAUACUACACGGCUAGAGAGUGGGAGAGGUCAGCGGUAUUCUGGGGGUAAGGGCGAAAUCUUUUGAUCCCCGGAGGACCACCAGUGGCGAAGGCUGCUGACUAGAACACGUCCGACGGUCAGGGACGAAAGCUGGGGUAGCGAACCGGAUUAGAUACCCGGGUAGUCCCAGCCGUAAACGAUGCAUGUUAGGUGUUGGGUUGGCCACGAGCCACCCCAGUGCCGCAGGGAAGCCGUUAAACAUGCCGCCUGGGAAGUACGAUCGCAAGGUUGAAACUUAAAGGAAUUGGCGGGGGAGCACCACCAGGCGUGAAGCCUGCGGUUUAAUUGGAGUCAACGCCGGA
This 804-nucleotide ribosomal RNA is filed under the name uncultured archaeon. Its description in RNAcentral is "bacterial SSU rRNA". It matches the Rfam family "Archaeal small subunit ribosomal RNA", at positions 132 to 922 of the family's 1478-position model. The record is from RNAcentral.